Molecule: ribosomal RNA, 400 nt
Filed under: uncultured bacterium
Lineage: Bacteria
Description: bacterial SSU rRNA
Rfam family: Bacterial small subunit ribosomal RNA
Source: RNAcentral
UGGGGAAUAUUGCACAAUGGGCGCAAGCCUGAUGCAGCAACGCCGCGUGGGUGAUGAAGGCCCUUGGGUUGUAAAGCCCUUUCGGUCGGGAAAUAGGGCGUACUGGCUAAUAUCCAGUGCGUUUGAUGGUACCGAAAGAAGAAGCACCGGCUAACUUCGUGCCAGCAGCCGCGGUAAUACGAAGGGUGCAAGCGUUGUUCGGAAUGACUGGGCGUAAAGGGUUCGUAGGCGGGAAUGUAAGUUAAGUGUGAAAUCCCUGGGCUUAACCCAGGACGUGCACUUAAAACUGUGUUUCUUGAGUACUGGAGGGGGUUGGGGAAUUGCUGGUGUAGGAGUGACAUCCGUAGAGAUCAGCAGGAACACCGGAGGCGAAGGCGCCAACCUGGACAGAUACUGACGC